RNAcentral lists this small RNA (263 nucleotides) under Drosophila guanche. The record is from RNAcentral. Lineage: Eukaryota; Metazoa; Arthropoda; Insecta; Diptera; Drosophilidae.
GGCUUGCAACACUCACCGAUUUGCUGCAGAGAUGGCUGGGGCAGCGGCAGCCACGGUCAGGCUAUGGUCGACUAAUGAACUUCUGGAAUUAAUGCCGGAAUUCAGCUGCGAUGACGUUGCUGCUGCAGUCGCUGCUGCUGCUUCUGCUGUUGUUGCGGUUGUUGCGGCUGCUGCUGCUGUUGGUAUUGUUGCUGCAGGGACUGCUUGCGCUGCUUGUGCUGCUGCUGGAACGUUCUGCAGCGUUGCUGCUGUUGUGCUGGAAU